ACCUUUCAUCCUGAGCAGCUCCUAAGCAUUUGGCCAUUCUUCCUCAUCCUUGACUCUAAACUCUCCCAUACAGGUAAUUGCUUAAGACAAUGCUUACCCUCCUUAGGGGGUCCAACACCCUAUCGAGGGGCUUCUCGGGGCUUUGGGGUUCUCUUUAGGGCCUGGAAGUCCCUAUAUUUUGCCAUGAUGGGUUGAUGCUUAAGAUAUCAUCGACUCUCAACUCUCCAAUACAGGUAAUUGCCUAAGAUAAGGCUUAACCUCCUUAGGGGAUCCAACACCCUUUCGAGGGGCUUCUCGGACCUGAAAGUAUCUUAUAUUUGGCCAUGAUAGGUUGAUGCUUAAAAUGGGGAGUGGUAUGAUAGAGAGCAUUGUUGAGCCAUGUCAUGGAUGCUUUCUUUUGGGGACUUAGAUCUCCUGAUACAGGAAUUUGGUUAGUUACCUGAGUUUGUUUCCCCUUUCACCACUUCUUGGUUUCCUCUAUAGUCACUCUUAUUUCUUCAGUCUUCCUUCUUUUUUUGCCUUUCCUCUUUACCACCUCUCUCUCCAACCCAUUUUUAAAAACCCUACAUUGUGGUCGUUGGUUGUGCAUCAAUCGCCACCAGUAUACCACCAAGCUUUUACCAAUCUCCUUUAGUUUAGGUUGAUGCAUUGCUCCAACCUCACUUUGCGAGGAUAUCCUUGAGGGGAUGGUGAUUAUUGAGGGUCAUGGCGAGAGGUUCGGGUCCAGCGGAGGAGUUCAAAGUGUUUGAUAACUGUGGAACCUGCUUUGAACGGCUUAUUUGGGAUCUUUGGUAUUAUGUAAUCAUGCACGGUGAAUAUAUUUAAUUUUUUUUUUUUCUUUUACCAACCGGUCCGUUUUAAAAUUUCUGGAAUUAAAAUAUUAAUAGUGUUGAUAGAAAUAAACACAGAAUAAAUAAAUAAAAUUAAAAUAAAAUACUUUCAAUAAAAUAAUAAUUUUGAAGUGAUAGUUCAUUGUGUCAAAAACUAAUAAUUAUUAUUUUCCCAUAAUGAUUAGUAUUAUACCCAACGUUAACUUCACAUUUUCUUGAGGAUGCCAAACAAUUGGAGGAAUAUGAUGACCCUAACUUUUCUGAAAUUGUAAAAUAAUAACACUAAUAAUAAAUAAAAUAAAACAAAGUGCUUACAACUGGGUGGCUUAGAUUACAACCUAACAAAAUAUUUCCAAACAAUUGGUAUUAUUUUUGUUUAAAUUGGUGCUAGUCUAUUUUUAUAGUGUAGACAUUAUGGUCUACACUUCCUUUGCACUAUGUUUUACUUUAAAAGAGAUGUUUAGGGCCUUACAUGGUAACCCAACAACCACGUUCAUUAAUUAAGACACCUUUUAUAAGAGGUGUUAAAAUUUUAAAAUAUCUCUCUCUCUUGCAAUACUCUCUCUACUAAAAAGGUAUUUUAACUUGAGAAAGUCUUUCUCUUAUGCCUCUAAAUCACACUCUUGCUUUAGCUAUACAUGGAACUGAAAGCGAUUUAACCGGCCUAACCGUAAAUUGGUCGAUUCUACUGCUCUAAUAGGGCAAGUCUCGAGUGGUCAAAAAAAUGUUAAAAUAAAUAAAUAAAUAAAUAAAAAAAGUCUACUAAAAAAUGAAAACAUAAAAAGAAUGAGUAAAACAAAACACAUUAAAAUAAAGUUGAAAAUUAAUUUUAAAAAAAUAGAUUUUAACCUAUUUUAUAUUUUCCAAAAGCUAUUUUUAAUUUUUUUAAAAAAGAUACGAAAAUAUAAAAGUGAGUAUUAAUGACCAAAAUAAGUUUUAAUCUUUCCCAUAAUGUAAAGAAUAUUUAAAAAUGCAUUACCAAUCAAAUUCUUUAAUUUUAAGAAUCUAUAUACAAUUUAUUUUUUUAUUUUUUAAAAAAUACCUGUUGAUCAUCCUAACUGCUCAAAACCAGAACCGGCCACUAGCUGGUCCGAUCUAACUAAAUAGUUAGUGGUUAGAUUGGUGAUUUUACAAACAAUGGCUUACACUGCAUCACCUCACACUCUCUCUUUAGACGUCUCACAAUCCCCGCCCUUUCUCUCUCAUAGCAUUAAGCUUCAUGGCCUUUCAGUUUGGAGCGAAAACAGUUGGGUCACAAAGAAUAAUGAAGGUAGCCAUUGAAUAC
This 2115-nucleotide long non-coding RNA is filed under the name Amborella trichopoda. RNAcentral's name for it is "long non-coding RNA (ATRI_LNC000293)". The record is from RNAcentral. Lineage: Eukaryota; Viridiplantae; Streptophyta; Magnoliopsida; Amborellales; Amborellaceae.